This is a long non-coding RNA of Leopardus geoffroyi (Geoffroy's cat), 322 nucleotides long. RefSeq lists it as uncharacterized. Lineage: Eukaryota; Metazoa; Chordata; Mammalia; Carnivora; Felidae. The transcript is spliced from 2 exons. The record is from RefSeq and is a predicted model, not a curated record.
AGAACAGACAGACAGAAAGUGACAGUUGGUGGGGAUAAAACUGGCCGUGGAGAUGCCUGGGUGGGGGCUGCCCAGGGAGUGGGGCUCCCACAGUGUCAGGAGGCCUGGCUAGAGGGUAGAGACAAGAGGCCCCGCCCACCCAGGGAGGGGACAGGAAGUGGUCCAACUUCUUCCCCAGAGCCACACCCCGGAAGUCUAUGUCCCCACCAGAUUGUGACCUCCCUGGGAUUAGGAACUGUGUCUAUUUUAUCCACUGCUAUGUUCCUGGUUCCCAGCCCCAGCCUGGCCCAUAUGGGAAGCCUGAUGAAGCCCACCACCGAGU